UGAACGCUGGCGGCGUGCCUAACACAUGCAAGUCGAACGGUGAACCUUGCUUUUAGUAAGGGGAACAGUGGCGGACGGGUGAGUAACACGUAGGUGACCUGCCCCAAAGAGGGGAAUAACCAUUCGAAAGGAUGGCUAAUACCCCGUAAGGUCGGCGAUUCGGUUGGUCGAUUAAAGCUUCUCGCAAGAGAGGCGCUUUGGGAGGGGCUUGCGGCCCAUCAGCUAGUUGGUAGGGUAAUGGCCUACCAAGGCAAAGACGGGUAGCUGGUCUGAGAGGACGAUCAGCCACAAUGGCACUGAAACACGGGCCAUACUCCUACGGGAGGCAGCAGUGAGGAAUAUUGCACAAUCAACGAAAGUUGGAUGCAGCAACGCCGCGUGGACGAUGAAGGCCUUCGGGUUGUAAAGUCCUUUUAAGAGGGAAGAGAGAGGACGGUACCUCUUGAAUAAGUCUCGGCUAACUAC
Molecule: ribosomal RNA, 465 nt
Filed under: uncultured bacterium
Lineage: Bacteria
Description: bacterial SSU rRNA
Rfam family: Bacterial small subunit ribosomal RNA
Source: RNAcentral